RNAcentral lists this ribosomal RNA (253 nucleotides) under uncultured bacterium. RNAcentral describes it as "partial 16S ribosomal RNA". It matches the Rfam family "Bacterial small subunit ribosomal RNA", at positions 524 to 776 of the family's 1533-position model. The record is from RNAcentral.
UACGUAGGGGGCAAGCGUUGUCCGGAAUUAUUGGGCGUAAAGAGCGCGUAGGUGGCCUCAUAAGUCCGCUGUGAAAGUCAAAGGCUCAACCUUUGAAAGCCGGUGGAUACUGUGAGGCUAGAGUACGGAAGAGGCGAGUGGAAUUCCUGGUGUAGCGGUGGAAUGCGCAGAUAUCAGGAGGAACACCAAUAGCGAAGGCAGCUCGCUGGGACGUUACUGACACUGAGGCGCGAAAGCGUGGGGAGCGAACAGG